GACGAACGCUGGCGGCGUGCUUAACACAUGCAAGUCGAACGCUGAAGCUCAGCUUUUGUUGGGUGGAUGAGUGGCGAACGGGUGAGUAACACGUGAGUAACCUGCCUCCUUCUUUGGGAUAACGCCCGGAAACGGGUGCUAAUACUGGAUAUUCACUGGUCUUCGCAUGGGGGUUGGUGGAAAGGGUUUUUCUGGUGGGGGAUGGGCUCGCGGCCUAUCAGCUUGUUGGUGGGGUGAUGGCCUACCAAGGCUUUGACGGGUAGCCGGCCUGAGAGGGUGACCGGUCACAUUGGGACGGAGAUACGGCCCAGACUCCUACGGGGGGCAGCAUGGUGGAAUAUUGCACAAUGGGCGCAAGCCUGAUGCAGCGACGCCGCGUGAGGGAUGGAGGCCUUCGGGUUGUGAACCUCUUUCGCUCAUGGUCAAGCCGCAACAAUGGUUGUGGUGAGGGUAGUGGGUAAAGAAGCGCCGGCUAACUACGUG
This 483-nucleotide ribosomal RNA is filed under the name uncultured bacterium. RNAcentral's name for it is "partial 16S ribosomal RNA". It matches the Rfam family "Bacterial small subunit ribosomal RNA", at positions 28 to 507 of the family's 1533-position model. The record is from RNAcentral.